Molecule: non-coding RNA, 379 nt
Organism: Ciona intestinalis (vase tunicate)
Lineage: Eukaryota; Metazoa; Chordata; Ascidiacea; Phlebobranchia; Cionidae
Source: RefSeq, a predicted model, not a curated record
UAUAUAAAAUAAUUUCAGAUUCAUUGGCAAAAAAAAAAUUGCCAGACUGCAAAAGUAAGUAGGCUACUUUAAAUUAAAUCCCAGGUUAUUCUUAAUUUGUUUACUUUUUAUUAACAGAGAAGGAAUUAUUCACAAAAGCAAAAAGUGGAUACCAAAAGAAAAAUGGGACGAAAGAUAUUCCAGCAGACUUUUGCAGCCCGGAUCUUCAACAGGGCCUGCCCCUUCUCAGGAGCGUGUGCCCCUUUAAAAAGGCCUGCCCCUUUGAAAAGGCCUGCCCCUUUAAAAAGGCCCGCCCCUCCACAGGAGCGUGCCCCUUUAAAAAGGCUUGCCCCUUCUCAGGAGCCACAGGCGGCUGUGGAGCUACAGGGGCUGUGGACAG